RNAcentral lists this transfer RNA (69 nucleotides) under Marmota monax (woodchuck). RNAcentral describes it as "tRNA.Ala". Lineage: Eukaryota; Metazoa; Chordata; Mammalia; Rodentia; Sciuridae. The record is from RNAcentral.
GGGGAUGUGGCUCAGUGGUAAAGUGCUUGCCUGGCAUGAAUGAGUCCCUGGGUUCAGUCCCCAUCACCA